Molecule: ribosomal RNA, 266 nt
Filed under: uncultured bacterium
Lineage: Bacteria
Description: partial 16S ribosomal RNA
Rfam family: Bacterial small subunit ribosomal RNA
Source: RNAcentral
CUAUCUUAGUGGCGGACGGGUGAGUAACGCGUGGGUAACCUGCCUUGCACUGGGGGAUAACACUUAGAAAUAGGUGCUAAUACCGCAUAACAGGAGAAGACGCAUGUCUUUUCCUUAAAAACUCCGGUGGUGUAAGAUGGACCCGCGUCUGAUUAGCUUGUUGGCGGGGUAACGGCCCACCAAGGCAACGAUCAGUAGCCGGCCUGAGAGGGUGAACGGCCACAUUGGGACUGAGACACGGCCCAAACUCCUACGGGAGGCAGCAG